This is a long non-coding RNA of Mastomys coucha (southern multimammate mouse), 1210 nucleotides long. RefSeq lists it as uncharacterized. The record is from RefSeq and is a predicted model, not a curated record. The transcript is spliced from 2 exons. NCBI's taxonomy places the organism in Eukaryota, Metazoa, Chordata, Mammalia, Rodentia, Muridae.
CCAGAGAGAGGAUGGAUUCCUGGGCCGUCUUAGACAGGUCAGAGUGCACUCCGACCUCCCAGUCCCUUUUUGCAGCUGACACCGCACCUUUCCAGCCCCGGGCCUGCUGUGUACUGACCGCCCACUGCGGUUGCCUAGGAAACCCUCUCUCUCCGCCUCCCUUGACCUCUGGGUCACGAAGGGGAUGAAGAGGGCGGGGAAAUCAGCCGCCCAUCCUUGUCUGCAUCACGUGGUGGCAAACUACAACCAAUUAACAUAAGCAGGGAAGACCCUCCCCCGCCCUCUUCCGGGAGACCUUCCCCUCCCACCUUUGCUACGGCUCCUGGGGAGCGGUGGGAGCCAGCCGCUGCCUAGUUCUUAGUCUUGGGUGUAUCACUUCACUUUGUUUCCUUCCGAGGACAGUGACAGUUUGUGGGCUAGGCGGUGGGGACCUGGUCCUGGCAUUUUCCAGUGAAAGUUUUUGACACCUGGUGCCUCGAAGUCAGCAGGAUUAACUCCCCAGCAUUGCGUGGAGCACUGAGGUCACAAGACAGCCCCCAGAUCCGCUCCCUCCCGCAGCCGCCAAGAGCCCGAUUUCCUCCACUUAAAGCAAACAAAAUGUACUAUGAAGACUGGGAUUUAUAAAGCUCCAAUUAACAACCAAUGACUUACUACGAGUAUCUAAUCCCCACUCGGCAAGAUGAAGACCUUCAAACUUCUUAAUGUUUUCUCAUCAGGGCAAGGAUUAAGUGAACUCCACUGGCCAUCCUUUCUGAGUACUAAUCUCAUUUAUGAGUGUUCUUUCCUCAUGAUCUAACCUCCCCAAAGCCCUUCCUCCUAAUUGCCAUGGAGUUAGAGUUCCAGCAUAAGAACUCGGGGAGACACAAACAUUCUGGUCAUUGCAUUCCACCCCUAGUUCUCUUCAUGGUGUCAUUUUCACAAGCUUACCUCCAUCCCAACAGCCACAAAGGCAAGCAUCAACUCAGAGCCAAAGUCAAGAGAUUUCAUAUUAUGUAAAACAAACAUAAGUGAAUGUCAAGGCAAAUUCCUGGUUGGCUGUAGAUCUGUAAAAUAAGUCAAGCAAUAUGCUUCUCAAAUAAAACAAUGGGAGCAGGCAAAGGAAGACCUUCUCAUUCUGAGAAGGAGGCAUAGGAAAGAAGAAUAAUUAGUAUGUACCAUUUGAACCCGAGACCAAACAAGGAAAACAUUAAACUUCCAGGUACAAGACUAA